AAUGAAUGAUGACAAUUUGUUUCGGUCCCAGAUGAUGCAAUGAUUACUCUUUUUCAAUGCUGAUAUU
Small nucleolar RNA from Elgaria multicarinata webbii, 67 nucleotides. RefSeq annotates it as small nucleolar RNA SNORD73. The transcript has a single exon. NCBI's taxonomy places the organism in Eukaryota, Metazoa, Chordata, Lepidosauria, Squamata, Anguidae. The record is from RefSeq and is a predicted model, not a curated record.